AAUCUACCCUCUUUCAGUUUAAAGCCAUUUUCCCUUGCCCUGUUCCUACCUGCCCUUAUAAAAUAUAUCCCAUUGUCAACUCUGAAAAAUUAUUAAAAAUUCCUGAAAUUUUGGAUGUAGUGUUUAUUUAGUUUCUCUGCUGGGUUCUUGCUCCCAUCCUCACACAUCCACAGUCUGUUUGUGAGCCUGACACAGAGUGGUGCACUCUUUUCAUUUUGCUGAGGGUAGAACAGAGAACUAUAGCACUGUGUGCUGCAUGUGAGGGCAUCUCCCCCACUCAGCUACAGCCUCUGCCUUCUCCUCACCAUCACUCAUAGCAGCAGCUCAACACAACCACAGUCCAUGGGGUGAAUUUUGAAGUGCACUCUGAUUUAAUAGGUACUCAUGUUGUCUCCUCUGCUGCUUUCAGCAACACUCAUCCUGCUGCUUUCAUGUGUGUAUCAGCCACAAUAGGAAGGAGACAAGACCUAUUCUCCCAGUUCCUCUCCCAGCAAGUCUUAGUCCCACUCUCCUUCUCAUCCUAUUAAAGCAGACGGAUAACCCUGCACUGACUCCCUGAAUAUAAAAGUAGUGGCACAGAUAUAUACAAGUUUCUCUACUCUGAUUCUUAGAUGAGAAUUCAACCAAAUCCAUUUACAGUACUAUCCUAGUCCUUCACAGAGUUGGUUACUUUCUUUUUUUUUUUCCCCCACAAAGAAUUGUCAGACUAUUUUGUAGAGAUGUAUGGGCCAUUAACCUCACUUUCCAUAACCCAAACUGAUGGAAUUUGUCUGAAAUCACUACCUAAGUCAGCUGAAGAUCUGCCUUUUUGCUCUCGAUGGGAAAAAUUAACCUUGAGUCAGCUAUCAAACUCAAACUGGUUUUAAUGAAGAUGAAUGGAAGCAUUAAACUUUUCCAAUGCAUUUAAGUAUGUUAGCUGUAUGUCUCAAAAGUAAACUUCCACCUGGGAAAUGGCUGCAUGCAAAAAAGGGCAAGAAGAUUCCUCUCUGUCUUCUCCAUCAGGAAAUGAAGACCACCUACAUAAAAGACCUACUCAGAUUCAAAGUACAUCACAGAGAAAUUACUUAUGAUCAAAAUACAUGAUAUUCUUUCUAUUUGCAGUUGAUAAAUGUAAUGAUCACCUCAUGUUUCACUUCUGUCUUUCCCUUCUAACACUAGGUGCAAAGCACAGUGUGAAUAAUUUCUCUUAUGAUUUUCACAUACAGCUAUCUAAAUUCUGCUUUCUGAACUGUGCCUGCGCCUGUUCCCAUCAGCACAGUGAAGAACAGGAUUUGACAUCCCUUGCCCCUUUGAAACUUAAUCAGGGAUUUCAGAAUUAUAUGCAGAUCUGCCAAAUCACUUCCCUGCUGAAAAAUGCAACCAGCCAGUGACUGCUCCCCCACAGUCCCUGUGCCCCAUCUCCUCUGUGCUGCAGGUCUGUGCCUGGGACUGAGGAUGGACAUUGCAGUCUCUCUGGUGUAGUGGUGCAUGAGGCAGGUUUGUGUCUGCUGGGAGUUAGAGAGGAGAUUUGCCUCCUCCUCUGAGGAUUACAUGUUGCCUCACUGUGUCAAGCCACUGUGGCUGUGAAGUGUAUUUAUUUAGGCUGGGGCAGAAGAAGAAGAGUGGGCAGGAAGCCUUUAAAAUCACACUGUACACCACUCCCUUCCAAGAGAGAAGAAAGGCACGUAUAACACACAUAUACCUGUGUCUGUUCCUACCCUUCCCCAAGCAGUAAUUAAUUUAAAUCAGGGCUGAAAGCUGAGUGAAAUAAGAUUUCUAUGAACUGUGCCAAAGAUGCUCCUAACAGAUGCCUGCUGUAUUUGUAUAAUCAUUUAAACAAAAUGUCAUAGGAAAUCAAAUUAAGAUCAGAUUGAUUCCAUCAGUGCCUAACAUAGUCUGCUGGUUAUCACAGAUUAUCACAAACCCAGCACUGAUGACUGUAAAUAAUAGGGACUAAUACUGUCAGAACAGAUCAUACCUCUGCCAUUUAAUGACAUGGAGCUGUUUCACAACUGUAGAAAAUAACAGGAAUUUGAGAGAGUGUUUAAUAUGUUGAAAUGCAUUUAUUUCUUUUUAGCCAGUUUCUUAAGCACACAGCUGCAAGGAAACUACUAGUCUGAAAGAGGAGAGAGAUACUGACACUCCCCGUCAUCUCAUUCUCAACUGAAAGGCAGCCCAUGACUUAGCAGCACAAGCAGAAGAGAAUUGCUGCCAUAGAUGAAGAGCCAUGCCUGUCUGGGGUCAGGUAGCUUCUGCCCCAGCAGGACUGAGGAGAGGGGAAAGAGCAGCAAGCCAUUGUGACUUCUGUUUUCUCCUUCCGCCAUGCUUAAGGAGGAAAAGAGGGAAGAAAGAGAGGAAAGUAUUUCCUCAGGGAGAUCACUGGCAGCUUCUGCCUGCACCAAGCAUCUCACUACAGCAACUGCAGCAGGGCUCUUCCUUUCCCAGUAUAGACAGACAACAAGAGGGCACUUUCUCUCCUAAGGGAGUAUUCUACAGUAGGCAAUUUACUUAUGCCCCAAUGCAUUAUUGUAUUUCUCCAAAAAUAUGUUUUUUCUUUUAUUUUUUUUUUCCCCUAGAGAAUUCUAUCUGUAUUUUACUAUUCUGUCAUUCCAUUGCUAUUCAAGAGUUGCUCUUGAAUACAGCCUUUAAACAGAUACUGGAAGAGAAGACUUGAUUGUUUCACUGUGAGUAGGAUGGGUUACAUGAAAUUGUUACUCCACGGGGAGGUUUAACUCUUGUCACUAUACAGCAAAGAACCAUUAUGGGUCAAAUAAAGACCAUAUGCAUCUUUAAAAACAUUGUUUUGCAAGCCUUGGAUAAUAGAAUGUUUCAUAUUUUAUUUUGGGGUCAUUAUAGUUUAUUUACUUAGCAGUAGAUCUAGGAUGUGGGUAUUUUUGGAAAGGCAUUCAUCUGGAGCAACAGCCUCAUACUGAACAUGACUGAUGUUGUAUAGAAAAAUUUAAGUCAUUUCUAAUGUAGAAGUAGACCCCUUAUUUGUACUGAUUUUUGCACAUUGAUUUAGCAUAGGUGGGACUUUUCUUUUAUCUGGUUUGUGCUGGUGUACUUGCCUUUUGGAGCUGCAAGCUUCUUGGGGCAGGAGGUGAAUUCACAGACAUGCCUUGUACAUCUCAGGCUCAUAAGCAUCAGAUGAAAAUUGACAAGAGGAAUGGACUUCUUCUGAUCCAGCUUGUUGCAGAAGCUGAUCUUUAAGACCUACUCUAGUCCAUUUUGCCUACAGACUUGCCUGUUGAGUGACAGGCAAGUAGAGUGCUAUUGUAUGUAAAGGGAAACACUGUCAAGAAAACAAAUUGCUAGUAGAUGGAAUUUGAUCUUUUCCGGGGAAAGCUGUUAACUAAAGCAAUCCUAUUUAUUUAUUUAUUUAUUUAUCACAGUUCUACAAUAGGUGCUAAUGUUCAUUAGGACAAUAAAGUUGUCACAUUGGAUUAUGGCAGUAAAAGAAUACAGAUACCCACAGAGCCAAAACCAAACCUCAGAAUGUUUUAAUUCAUUAGCUCAACAACUCCAUGCUUUUGGAAAUAUGGAAUAUGGGAAAUUAGGGCGGGGAACGGAGUCUUAUGAGAGAGUGGAAGCUACAGAAAUCUGAACAAAUACAAAUAUCAUUUAUAGGCAAAAAAAACCAAACAAACCUGUGUUCAUUGCCAGAUAUUAAAUCUUGUUUAUCCUUCCUUAAGCUAACCAGAAACACAUUGUGUUCAAGUACUAUGUAACAACUGAGAUGCUGUGGUUGUGCUGUAACUCUUCUUUGCUGCUUUUAUCUUCUCUAAAUUGGGAGCGUGACUGCCAGGCUCGAAGACUCGCUCCCCUCUGAUCCAGCUCUUCUGUUUGGGAAGACCAACGCUGUCCUGCUCACUGUCUCCCCUCCGGAAAGCAUCAACAUUUGGGCUCACGGACUCACGGUGCGGGACCAAUGAACAUCUCUGAAUGAAUAUGUUGUAGGAGUUUUUCUGCUCUGGCUGUAGGACUCUUUGUUAGAAGACUGUGAGCCCUUCUGUACAAUAUCUGACUCCUCUUUAUACCACAGACAUCUAUGUCAAGAGCAAAGAAUGCACCUCACUGUGGAUGGAUCUGCAUAUUUUCUGCUUCCUGUUGUACACUUACCUGUACAAAUUUUCUUGAAUUACAGGAGAAAACUGCAGGUGCAGGGGUCCUUUUGGAUGCCACCCGCUCUCUGGUGCAGGUCCCAAAGGCAAUGAUUUCAUCCAGAGUGACCUUUGAAGAGCAGAUGGAGAAAGGGCUAUUUGCUUAGAGGUUGACUGCCCAUCCCGUCUUCUCCAAGCAAGAUUCAUCUGAGACCUUAAAAAUUAUUGAGAAAACUUCAAAACAAAACAAAAAACAAAACAAAC
Molecule: long non-coding RNA, 4343 nt
Organism: Meleagris gallopavo (turkey)
Lineage: Eukaryota; Metazoa; Chordata; Aves; Galliformes; Phasianidae
Source: RefSeq, a predicted model, not a curated record